AACUAUACAUUUUUAUUUGAAAUAUACAUUUUGAACUUGCACAUCCCUAGAUGUAGCUUUCGCUUUGGGCAAGAUUCCUGCUCAAAGUACAGGUAGCACUACAAUUUGCGCGCUUGUCAAGUGUACGACAACAUUACGCGCAAUUGUUCAAUGUCAACGCAUUUGAUGAGCAUGAAAUGCCUUUGCCUUUGCCAGUGAAGUACGAGUAUCUGUGUAUCUGGCGGAUGGAUUGCUCUUGUCAGAAGAGCUGCUGCGGCUGUGGCUCUUGUCGCACGGUUCCUACCAUUCAUUGUUUUGGCCCAGAGAGCCGCCUUGACUGACUACUGCAAUCGUCAUCAGGCACAAGGCACUAGGCAGUAGGCAUCAUGCACCAUGCACCAUCCACCAGCCACCAGGCGGCAGCAAUUCCCAUGUGCUGCCAUGUUCUGUGUGAUAACGAAGCCAGUCCUGGCCAAGCUCCAUUGUCGCCAUCGCUCUGUCCUGGGCCGCGAUGUUCUCCAGUUCCUCCAGGCCGUCCUGGUUGUCCCACUGGCAACGACAUCACUGACAAUCAAAAAUGCGCCGUAUGAACUGAAUUAAGCCAGCUACCAGGGGGCCUGGAUGUAGAGUGGCUACAAAGGAAUAUUUUAAGUGUAAAAGUGUGCUCCCAGCUCCCAAUUCCAGUGCCAGUCCCUCCGCCGAAACACAAUUAAUAUUUAUGACCUUGCCCGGCUGAUAUAUUUGCCUGGGCGCACACACGUAAAUGCUGCGAUUUAUCAUUCAGCGGCCCUCGCAGGCCGGGCCUGGGCCAAUCUGGCAGGGGGUGGUGUUCCGAUACAGCCGCAAGGAUAAUAGAACUGUUAACAUGGGAAUAAAAUUUCGAAUAAAAUUCAAUAGAUUCAAUCUAACUAUCUCGCAGCGACCGCGGCCACGGCCGACUGACUGCACUCCACAAAAUGCAAAUCGAAUCGAAGGCAGCGAAAUGCGAACGUGAAUCGUUGGGAAAAUUUCCAUGAAAUUGACCAUUUUCGGGUAUUUAAUUAAUUCAAACGUCACUAAUUAGCUGCCAAAAAAUACGCAGCCAUGUCAAAACGAAGCCAACCCGAGCGACCUCGCCAGAAACCCCAGCCCCUUAAACCACCUGAACCCACCUGAGCUCGGCAGCCUCACCUGGGGCGGUUAAUUAAGUCAACUCCCGUUGGAGGAACAACAGAAACACCAGCCACCACCGAAAACAACCUGGCUUAGACGGUUUAUGUUGGUUCGAAGGGAGAUUACCCCCUAAAAUAUCAUCGAAGAAGGUCUCACUCUCAAGAUACUAAUCAUAAAUUAUUGAAGACUGCACGAAUUAUAAAAUAUAUUUUUAUAUAUCUUUGUUAAGAGGCAGGAGCUGGCGAUAACGGCGAGCAGAAAACACACAAGGCCAAAAAAGAGCCAACACCAAACAAGGAUAUUGGGAAAGGAUACUACAACAAGCUGGGGACGAGCGAGUCGCGGAUCGGAUCGGAUUUCACCUUUCCCCCAGAAAUUCCUUAAUACGCACCCAAAUGAGGCUAGCAUUGAUUUUUCGGGCUUUGUGGCAUUACUGCCGUUCUGUUGGACUGUUAAAUUAAUUUUAAUAUCUCGCUGGGCGCAAACAAUAGAAAGCAAACAUUUUAACAUUUUUAUAA
Drosophila ananassae is the source of this 1649-nucleotide long non-coding RNA. RefSeq lists it as uncharacterized. The transcript has 3 exons. Lineage: Eukaryota; Metazoa; Arthropoda; Insecta; Diptera; Drosophilidae. The record is from RefSeq and is a predicted model, not a curated record.